This is a non-coding RNA of Callithrix jacchus (white-tufted-ear marmoset), 117 nucleotides long. NCBI's taxonomy places the organism in Eukaryota, Metazoa, Chordata, Mammalia, Primates, Cebidae. The record is from Rfam.
GCUGGGCAUGGUGGCUCAUGCCUGUAAUUCCAGCAUGUUGGGAGGCUGAGGCAGGUGGAUCAUUUGAGGUCAGGAGUUUGUGACCAGCCUGACCAACAUAGUGAAACCCUGUCUCUA